CAUAUCAAUAAGCGGAGGAAAAGAAACUAACAAGGAUUCCCCUAGUAACUGCGAGUGAAGCGGGAAAAGCUCAAAUUUAAAAUCUGGCAGUCUUUGAUUGUCCGAGUUGUAAUCUAGAGAAGUGUUAUCCGCGUUGGACCGUGUACAAGUCUCCUGGAAUGGAGCAUCAUAGAGGGUGAGAAUCCCGUCUUUGACACGGACUACCAGUGCUUUGUGAUGCGCUCUCAAAGAGUCGAGUUGUUUGGGAAUGCAGCUCAAAAUGGGUGGUAAAUUCCAUCUAAAGCUAAAUAUUGGCGAGAGACCGAUAGCGAACAAGUACCGUGAGGGAAAGAUGAAAAGAACUUUGGAAAGAGAGUUAAACAGUACGUGAAAUUGCUGAAAGGGAAACGCUUGAAGUCAGUCGCGUUGGCUGGAAAUCAACCUUGCUUUUGCUGGGCGUACUUUCUAGUCAACGGGUCAGCAUCAAUUUUGACCAUUGGAAAAAGUGUAGAGGAAUGUGGCAUCUUCAGAUGUGUUAUAGCCUCUGCUCGCAUACAAUGGUUGGGAUUGAGGAAUUCAGCACGCCGCAAGGCCGGGUUUCGACCACGUUCGUGCUUAGGAUGCUGGCAUAAUGGCUUUAAUCGACCCGUCUUGAAACACGGACCAAGGAGUCUAACAUACCUGCGAGUGUUUGGGUGGAAAACCCAAGCGCGUAAUGAAAGUGAAAGUUGAGAUCCCUGUCGUGGGGAGCAUCGACGCCCGGACCAGACCUUUUGUGACGGAUCUGCGGUAGAGCAUGUAUGUUGGGACCCGAAAGAUGGUGAACUAUGCCUGAAUAGGGUGAAGCCAGAGGAAACUCUGGUGGAGGCUCGUAGCGAUUCUGACGUGCAAAUCGAUCGUCAAAUUUGGGUAUAGGGGCGAAAGACUAAUCGAACCAUCUAGUAGCUGGUU
RNAcentral lists this ribosomal RNA (930 nucleotides) under Conocybe sp. RNAcentral describes it as "partial large subunit ribosomal RNA". It matches the Rfam family "Eukaryotic large subunit ribosomal RNA", at positions 39 to 956 of the family's 3401-position model. Lineage: Eukaryota; Fungi; Basidiomycota; Agaricomycetes; Agaricales; Bolbitiaceae. The record is from RNAcentral.